CGGGUAUCAGAGGACCAUCACUCGGCAAAGUUUCAGUGCAUGCCGUUGAUGUAGACGGCGUGAAAACGGAAACAAGAAGUAUGCCGGCUCACUGUGCUGCAUACAGUUACACACUACGUCGUACGAUUGAGACAAGGAAACUUGGAAUGACUUUUCAUAGGUUUCCCAGAGACUAUGGGUUGAGGAGGAAUUGGAAGUUUGUCGGCUUAGACCUGUGUCAUUCCAUCAGUGUUAAACUUCCCGGCUCAUUUUGGAAGAGUACGUGCCAGAAAGACCACGACCAAGCAGCCUUGAGAUCUUAGGCAGCGUCUCCCUGAGGUCCCUCUCUAUCUCCCCACACAUCCACCAACCACUGGAACACAUCUCCAAAGUUCUGCCGGGCCAGCUCAGCUUCCCCUCAGAAGAAGUGCUGCCACCUGCCAGAUGAAGGAGCCUUUUGAGAGGCAGCUGGCAUCGUGAUUGGACUGUACUUUGGUCUGUUCCAAUCCAGCUUCAGCUCCAGAGACGGCAGGCGGGACGAGUCAACGGAGGCCUGGUGGACGAAGACUAAAGAACUACAGACUCUUCACAACCUGC
Long non-coding RNA from Amphiprion ocellaris (clown anemonefish), 576 nucleotides. The record is from Ensembl. NCBI's taxonomy places the organism in Eukaryota, Metazoa, Chordata, Actinopteri, Pomacentridae.